AAUAUCAAUUCUCAAUUAUAAAUUUUUUUCUUCGACAUCAUUAUGUCACAUCAGGAUGUAAAUUUUAGUAUCUAUCGUGAGAUUCCACAACAGUUGGAGAAUGGAACGAAACAUUGAGUGUGUGGAAAUCUCUCUCUAGUAUAUGCGUUUUAAAAACUUUGAGGGAAAAUCGGCUAGCAGUGAGCUUAGGCGGUUACAUUUACCCUUUUAAUAUGCAUCACUUUCAUUCAUAUAGGUUCGACGAUUUUUAAUUUUCAUAUAUUCAUGCAUGACUCCAGAAAACGUCAUACAAUCAUCAUAAAUUUCUCAACCUAGCACUAAGAUGUUCUAAUUGUGAGCAGACGACAAUCCACCAUCAAGCUCGUGGUUGUCGUCGAUCUUAAGGAGUGCCAAAAGCCGAAGAUCCUUGUCAUUGCCCAUUGCCUUUGCACGCAGUCGCAUGAUCAGAUGGGUGCAGGAGCUCACAUGGAUAAGAAUGGUUGGAUGCUCGUAGGAAAAACAUAUCGGGUCCACAAGAAAGAGAAAGGGACGACCAAUUGCGUACCAUGAGGAUAGACCAAGUGCAAGUGAAAGCAAAAUCAAGCAUAAAAGAU
Cucurbita maxima (winter squash) is the source of this 593-nucleotide long non-coding RNA. RefSeq lists it as uncharacterized. The transcript has 2 exons. Lineage: Eukaryota; Viridiplantae; Streptophyta; Magnoliopsida; Cucurbitales; Cucurbitaceae. The record is from RefSeq and is a predicted model, not a curated record.